Molecule: long non-coding RNA, 991 nt
Organism: Artibeus jamaicensis (Jamaican fruit-eating bat)
Lineage: Eukaryota; Metazoa; Chordata; Mammalia; Chiroptera; Phyllostomidae
Exons: 3
Source: RefSeq, a predicted model, not a curated record
GUCAUGAUGCCUGUCUGUUUUCUCAAUGAUAACUUGGCAGAAGACGAGAGAGGCUGCCAGGUUCUCCUCGGGUGGUUACGUGGAGGGAGAAAGAGUUCCAGCUUCAACUGGAAAAAUAAUCAAGAUGUCACCUGAUGCCACAAGUUAACAACUAUGUUCCCAGCUGUGUGGCUUUGCCAGUUCCUGAACCAGCAGAGUAAAGUCGGUAAAGUCAUGGAAAGAACAUUGAACUUGGCAUCAAGACACCUGAGUAUAGAGGCUGCUGGUGUGGCCAGGACUGAAUUCAGCAGAUUCAAAACCCUGUUCUCUCACUGACUCUGAACAGCACCGCUGGCCCUUCGACACUGACUCCUUCCCGUCCACGCGGUGAACAUGACCUGGCGGUGGACCCUACAGAUGCCUGAACCCCGCCCUCAAUCUGCCCUAAUGACUGAACGCUCCCCUCCAACAGCAGAAGAAAAGCAAAGCAGUGAGAAAAGAAAAGGCCGCGCUAUAUUCCUUUGGUACCUGCCAGCCCUUUUCCCGGACAUUCAUCCCCAUUUCCCUUGAUCCCGCACCAUGAAGGCGGGGCCCAUUGUGGGGAUACAAUCCCUGUGCUUCCCUGCACCUUGGCUGGAUUUGAUUCACAAAGGAGAGAAUGUCCGAGUAAACAUCAUAUGGUUGUUAAAAUGACAGAAGCAUUGAAACGAAGGUUGGACUGGAAAGUAAUGUGCACUCAAGCUUUAAUUACAUUGUGUUUCCUCAUGGAACGUCCUAGCCAGGGACUUAAAACACUACAGUUGCGCCCAGCUCACCUUUCCAGCGUUUUCUCGCCCUUCUUCCUGGUAAGGGAGAAAGUGUGUGGGCUUCGGGCUCAGUUGGAUCAUUUAUUCACAUUUCCUGGACAAAUAUUAUAUGCAAAUUACAGCCAUAGGUACUGGGGAUACAAAAAUGAACAAGAUGAAUAAUGAUCAUAAACAAAUGCUGUUCCACUCCUUUGAGGAGCUCACAU